CCCGCACAAGCGGAGGAGCAUGUGGUUUAAUUCGAUGAUACGCGAGGAACCUUACCUGGGCUCGAACGUAAGAUGACUGUAGGUGAAAGCUUACAUCUCUUCGGAGCAUUUUACGAGGUGCUGCAUGGUUGUCGUCAGCUCGUGCCGUGAGGUGUCGGGUUAAGUCCCAUAACGAGCGCAACCCCUGCAUUCAGUUGCCAUCGGGUGAAGCCGGGCACUCUGGAAGGACUGCCAUCGACAAGAUGGAGGAAGGUGGGGACGACGUCAAGUCAUCAUGGCCCUUAUGUCCAGGGCGACACACGUGCUACAAUGGCCGGCACAACGGGAAGCGAGUUCGCGAGGACGAGCGGAUCCCUUAAAGCCGGUCGCAGUUCGGAUUGAAGUCUGCAACUCGACUUCAUGAAGCUGGAAUCGCUAGUAAUCGCAGAUCAGCCAAGCUGCGGUGAAUACGUUCCCGGGCCUU
This 463-nucleotide ribosomal RNA is filed under the name uncultured Sphingobacteriales bacterium. Its description in RNAcentral is "bacterial SSU rRNA". It matches the Rfam family "Bacterial small subunit ribosomal RNA", at positions 920 to 1382 of the family's 1533-position model. The record is from RNAcentral. Lineage: Bacteria; Pseudomonadati; Bacteroidota; Sphingobacteriia; Sphingobacteriales.